Non-coding RNA from Rattus norvegicus (Norway rat), 69 nucleotides. Lineage: Eukaryota; Metazoa; Chordata; Mammalia; Rodentia; Muridae. The record is from Rfam.
GGGGAUUUGGCUCAGUGGUAGAGCGCUUGCCUAGGAAGCGCAAGGCCCUGGGUUCGGUCCCCAGCUCCG